Molecule: unclassified non-coding RNA, 205 nt
Filed under: Hevea brasiliensis (rubber tree)
Lineage: Eukaryota; Viridiplantae; Streptophyta; Magnoliopsida; Malpighiales; Euphorbiaceae
Source: RNAcentral
AAUCUAAACAAUUUUAAUAAACCCUUUUGAAUUCCAAGAAAGAAGAAAGUUGAAAAGAGGAAUAAAAUUAAGGUUCAUGAGAGGGACACACAUGGAUCCAUUGUUUUGCUGGGAUCUAUUUUGUCAAAAGCUAAGCGGGUUUUAAGGUUAAUGGAGUUGACAUUUCCACUGGACGGUGUUCAUAUUCAUAUAUAUCCACUUCCUG